GAAUUAAAUCUAUAAAAGAACUGGGGAAUAUGAUGGCAUAAAGGGAUGUAGUUUCCAAAGGUUCAGUGCUACGUCUUGUAGAUUCUAUGACCUGGUUGAAAAUGACAUAUAUGUAUAUGUGCAUCAUCAGAGUAUUAACACUGAGGCAGAUGAGCUCCUAGAGGACGGUCACUCUGCCUGUUUCAAGGACUUGUCAAUGGACUCACCGUAAAAGAGAGUGUGAGUUGGGGAGA
Lutra lutra (Eurasian river otter) is the source of this 233-nucleotide long non-coding RNA. RefSeq lists it as uncharacterized. The record is from RefSeq and is a predicted model, not a curated record. NCBI's taxonomy places the organism in Eukaryota, Metazoa, Chordata, Mammalia, Carnivora, Mustelidae. The transcript has 4 exons.